Molecule: ribosomal RNA, 1114 nt
Filed under: uncultured marine bacterium
Lineage: Bacteria
Description: bacterial SSU rRNA
Rfam family: Bacterial small subunit ribosomal RNA
Source: RNAcentral
GAGUUUGAUCAUGGCUCAGGACGAACGCUGGCGGCGGGCUUAACACAUGCAAGUCGAAGGAGAAGGUAGAAGCUUGCUUUUACUGGAGACUGGCGGACGGGUGAGUAACGCGUAGAUAACCUGCCUAUAGCUGGGGGAUAACACUGCGAAAGUGGUGCUAAUACCGCAUAAUGCAGCGGGGCCGCAUGGCCAUAGUUGUUAAAGGUUUCGGCCGGCUAUAGAUGGGUCUGCGUGCUAUUAGUUAGUUGGUAGGGUAACGGCCUACCAAGGCGAUGAUAGCUAGGGGGCCUGAGAGGAUGAUCCCCCACACUGGGACUGAGACACGGCCCAGACUCCUACGGGAGGCAGCAGUGAGGAAUCUUGCGCAAUGGGCGAAAGCCUGACGCAGCCACGCCGCGUGCCGGAUGAAGGCCCUAUGGGUUGUAAACGGCUUUUACUAGGGAAGAACGAGAGGGUUUCGAUCUUCUGUGACGGUACCUAGUGAAUAAGCACCGGCUAACUCCGUGCCAGCAGCCGCGGUAAUACGGAGGGUGCAAGCGUUGUCCGGAAUCAUUGGGUGUAAAGGGUACGUAGGCGGGAGCCUAAGUCUGGGGUGAAAUCUUGCCGCUUAACGGUAAAAUGGCCCUGGAUACUGGGUUUCUUGAGUGCAGAAGAGGCAGGUGGAAUUCGUGGUGUAGCGGUGAAAUGCUUAGAUAUCACGAAGAACAUCAGUGGCGAAAGCGGCCUGCUGGUCUGCAACUGACGCUGAGUACGAAAGCGUGGGGAGCGAACAGGAUUAGAUACCCUGGUAGUCCACGCCGUAACGAUGCAUACUAGUGUUGGCCUUUGGGCCAGUGCUGCAGUAACGCAUUAAGUAUGCCACCUGGGGGAGUACGUCGGCACGAUGAAACUCAAGAAUGACGGGGCCGCACAGCGUGAGCAUGUGCUAUCGAUGCACGCGAGACUACUUGGCUAAUCACAGUGAUGUCUCUGGAACAGAGUCUUAGUACUAUGAAGGGCUGCAUGCUGUCGUCAGCCCUGCCUGAGGUUGGCUAAGUCCGCACGAGGCCAUCCUUGUAGUACAGACGUACGCGACUUAGCGAUCUACAGAUUGCAGAUGUGGACAGUCAGUUCA